AUGCGGAGGAUCCGAGCGUUAUCCGGAUUUAUUGGGUUUAAAGGGUGCGCAGGCGGGAGAUUAAGUCGGCGGUGAAAUUUUGCAGCUCAACUGUAAAAGUGCCUUCGAAACUGGUUUCCUUGAGUGUAGAUGAAGUAGGCGGAAUUUGUGGUGUAGCGGUGAAAUGCAUAGAUAUCACGAGGAACUCCGAUUGCGCAGGCAGCUUACUAAACUACUACUGACGCUCAGGCACGAAGGCGUGGGGAUCAAACAGGAUUAGAUACCCUGGUAGUCCACGCAGUAAACGAUGAUUACUAGCUGUUUGCGAUACAAUGUAAGCGGCUGAGCGAAAGCGUUAAGUAAUCCACCUGGGGAGUACGUUCGCAAGAAUGAAACUCAAAUGAAUUGACGGGG
This 393-nucleotide ribosomal RNA is filed under the name uncultured bacterium. RNAcentral's name for it is "partial 16S ribosomal RNA". It matches the Rfam family "Bacterial small subunit ribosomal RNA", at positions 523 to 918 of the family's 1533-position model. The record is from RNAcentral.